This 78-nucleotide transfer RNA is filed under the name Candidatus Wildermuthbacteria bacterium RIFCSPHIGHO2_01_FULL_47_27. RNAcentral describes it as "tRNA-Val". It matches the Rfam family "tRNA". From Rfam's summary of the family: Transfer RNA (tRNA) molecules are approximately 80 nucleotides in length. Their secondary structure includes four short double-helical elements and three loops (D, anti-codon, and T loops). Lineage: Bacteria; Candidatus Wildermuthiibacteriota. RNAcentral also lists the same sequence under 3 other names. The record is from RNAcentral.
GGGCGCGUAGCUCAGCCUGGAGUGAGCGCUUCCUUGACAUGGAAGAGGUCACAGGUUCAAAUCCUGUCGCGCCCACCA